Molecule: long non-coding RNA, 121 nt
Organism: Thalassophryne amazonica
Lineage: Eukaryota; Metazoa; Chordata; Actinopteri; Batrachoidiformes; Batrachoididae
Exons: 4
Source: RefSeq, a predicted model, not a curated record
CUCCACUCUGUUCCUCAGGCUCUGCACCUCCUCAGUCACGUUCUCCAUCGGGCCAAACCCGUCACCUGUGGGAACCAAACGAGUAUAAACAUAAAAUGUGUGUUUAAAGGUUUCUUCCUGU